UACGGGGGGGGCAAGCGUUGUUCGGAAUUACUGGGCGUAAAGGGCUCGUAGGUGGCCAACUAAGUCAGACGUGAAAUCCCUCGGCUUAACCGGGGAACUGCGUCUGAUACUGGAUGGCUUGAGUUUGGGAGAGGAAUGCGGAAUUCCAGGUGUAGCGGUGAAAUGCGUAGAUAUCUGGAGGAACACCGGUGGCGAAGGCGGCAUCCUGGACCGGUAUUGACGCUGAGGCGCGAAAGCCAGGGGAGCAAACGGG
This 253-nucleotide ribosomal RNA is filed under the name uncultured bacterium. RNAcentral describes it as "partial 16S ribosomal RNA". It matches the Rfam family "Bacterial small subunit ribosomal RNA", at positions 524 to 776 of the family's 1533-position model. The record is from RNAcentral.